This 254-nucleotide ribosomal RNA is filed under the name uncultured bacterium. RNAcentral describes it as "partial 16S ribosomal RNA". It matches the Rfam family "Bacterial small subunit ribosomal RNA", at positions 524 to 776 of the family's 1533-position model. The record is from RNAcentral.
UACGUAGGUGACCAGCGUUGUCCGGAUUUAUUGGGCGUAAAGAGCUCGUAGGCGGUUCGGUAAGUCGGGUGUGAAACCUCCAGGCUCAACCUGGAGACGCCACCCGAUACUGCUGUGACUAGAGUCCGGUAGGGGAGCGUGGAAUUCCUGGUGUAGCGGUGAAAUGCGCAGAUAUCAGGAGGAACACCAGCGGCGAAGGCGGCGCUCUGGGCCGGAACUGACGCUGAGGAGCGAAAGCGUGGGGAGCAAACAGG